This 468-nucleotide ribosomal RNA is filed under the name uncultured bacterium. RNAcentral's name for it is "partial 16S ribosomal RNA". It matches the Rfam family "Bacterial small subunit ribosomal RNA", at positions 28 to 507 of the family's 1533-position model. The record is from RNAcentral.
GACGAACGCUGGCGGCGUGCUUAACACAUGCAAGUCGAACGGACAGACCCUGAUUUUGCUGGUUGCACGAGUGGCGAACGCGUGUGUAUCACGUGAGUAUCCUGUCCUUGUCUUUCGGGUAACUUCUCGGGACUGCGGCUCUUAUACGAUAGGAUCUACUGCACCAUGUUGGUCAUUGGAAAAAUUCGGCGGUAGGGGCUGGACUCGCGGCUUCUCAGCUUGUUUGUGGGGUAGUGGCUUACCAAGGCUUUGACGGGUAGCCGGCAUGAGAGGGUGACCGGCCACAUUGGGACUGAGAUACGGCGCAGACGCCUACGGGAGGCAGCAGGGGGGAAUAUUGCGCAAUGGGCGGAAGCCUGAGGCGGCAACGCUGGGUGCGGGAUGACGGCCUUCGGGUUGUAAACCGCUUUCGCCUGUGACGAAGAGUGAGUGACGGUAAUGGGUAAAGAAGCACCGGCUAACUACGUG